AAAAGAAACCAACUGGCAUUCCCUCAGUAACGGCGAGUGAACCGGGAGAAGCCCACCGGUGAAGAAUCGCAAGAUUCGGUGUCCGGUUAGGAUUGGUGCUUAGUUCAUAUUCAAAGUGACUAGAAAUCUGUUGGAAAACAGUUUCAUAGAGGGUGAAAAACCCGUAACAGUUGCUUAGUUGUGGACAUCAUGGGCCCAAUCUAACGAGUAGAGCUAUUUGAAAGUGUAGCUCGAAGUGGAGAUAUGUCUCUCCAAAGGCUAAAUAUAAUUGCAAGUCCGAUAGCGAACAAGUACCGUGAGGGAAAGUUGAAAAGCACUCUGAAGAGAGAGUGAAAAGGACGUGAAACUGUUGAAGGGGAAUUGAAGGGAACGUUAUUGUGUCCAUUGCCGUCAAUUUAUUGAUGGCUUGCGGAUAGUGGUGUUGCUUUUGAAAGCCUUAGAUAAGCGCUGCAGUCACCAAUCGUCUUCGGACUUUUGGUUGAUGCAAGUGUUGAACUUGGAUUAUAUACAUCCUUGAUUUGUGCAAGUAAAAUCAACGUCACGAUCAGUGUUCUCUACAACCCGUCUUGAAACACGGACCAAGGAGUUUGAGUUGCUCGCAAGUGAAUGUGCUUCUUGAAAGCAUAAACGCGGAAUGAAAGUAAAUGUCAUUUUGCUUCGGCAACUUGGCUAUAUGUGGUGAUAGCACUAGAACAGUGUCUGGCAACCACGGGCGGUCUAACCACUUCGGUGUGUGAUCGACCUUUAGCGAGUAGCUCAAGACCCGAAAGAUGGUGAUCUAUGCUCGGGCAGGGCGAAGCCACGGGAAACCAUGGUGGAGGCCCGAAGCGGUUCUGACGUGCAAAUCGAUCGUCUGACCUGAGCAUAGGGGCGAAAGACUAAUCGAACCAUCUAGUAGCUGGUUUCCUCCGAAGUUUCCCUCAGGAUAGCGAAGGCUUAUGCGAAUCUGCGAAAGCAGUUUCAUUGGGUAAAGCGAAUGAUUAGAGGUCUGGGGAAAUUUACUUUCUUCACCUAUUCUCAAACUUUAAAUCGGUGAGAUGUCCUUGUGACUUAAUUGCACUCGGACUUUGAAUGCAAGCCUUCAGUGGGCCGUUUUUGGUAAGCAGAACCGGCGAUGUGGGAUGAACCAAAUGCUUGGUUAAGGCGCCUAACUACUUGCUCAUGAGCAACCACAAAAGGUGUUGAUUGAUAUAGACAGCAGGACGGUGGCCAUGGAAGUUGGAAUCCGCUAAGGAGUGUGUAACAACUCACCUGCCGAAUCAAUCAGCCCUGAAAAUGGAUAGCACUAGAGCUCGUGGCCUAUACUGAGCCGUGAAUGUCAACUUCUGUCAUAUCGCAGCUUUUUGUUGUGUAAGAUGGAAUAUGAUUAAUGCGUAGUCGUCAGAUUGCGUGGAUCAUACAUUCAUGAGUAGGAGGACGCAGUAAUUGCAUAAAAGGAUAUGCGUGAGCAUGUUCCUUAAGCGAUUGCUGGAGCAGAUCUUGGUGGAAGUAGCAAGUACUCAAAUGAGAACUUUGAGGACUGAAGUGGGUACGGUUUUCAUGUGAACAGCAUUUGAACAUGAGUUAGUCGAUUCUGAGAGACAGGCUAAUGCCAAAGUCAUGUAUUGUUAGUUUGCUCUAGCAACUACUUUGUCUCGAAAGAGCAUCGGGUUAAAAUUCCCGAACUGCAUCUAUCGGAUUAAGAGGCGGCAACGCUAGUGUAUUCCAAUUGGAUUGUAUGGCA
RNAcentral lists this ribosomal RNA (1723 nucleotides) under Childia groenlandica. Its description in RNAcentral is "eukaryotic LSU rRNA". It matches the Rfam family "Eukaryotic large subunit ribosomal RNA", at positions 57 to 1678 of the family's 3401-position model. The record is from RNAcentral. Lineage: Eukaryota; Metazoa; Xenacoelomorpha; Acoela; Childiidae.